CCUACGGGAGGCUGCAGUAAGGAAUAUUGGACAAUGGCGGAGACGCUGAUCCAGCUAUCCCGCGUGCAGGAUGAAGGACCUCUGGUUUGUAAACUGCUUUAGACUGGGGCGAAAAAGUGGGAUUUAUCCUACAUUGACGGUACCAGUAAAAUAAGCACCGGCUAACUCCGUGCCAGCAGCCGCGGUAAUACGGAGGGUGCAAGAGUUAUCCGGAAUCAAGGGGUCUAAAGGGUGCUGCGAAGGCUUGCUUGAAAGGCCACGGCUUAACCGUGGGAGUGCUUUUGAUACUGGCGAGCUUGGAUUAGGACGAGGUUGGCGGAAUGUGGCAAGUAGUGGUGAAAUGCAUAGAUAUGCCAUAGAAUACCGAUUGCGAAGGCAGCUGACUAGACCUAUAUUGACGCUGAGGCACGAAAGCGUGGGGAGCGAACAGGAUUAGAUACCCGGGUAGUC
Molecule: ribosomal RNA, 450 nt
Filed under: uncultured bacterium
Lineage: Bacteria
Description: partial 16S ribosomal RNA
Rfam family: Bacterial small subunit ribosomal RNA
Source: RNAcentral